AGUGAACGCUGGCGGUAGGCCUAACACAUGCAAGUCGAACGGCAGCACAGUAAGAGCUUGCUCUUACGGGUGGCGAGUGGCGGACGGGCGAGGAAUACAUCGGAAUCUACUUUUUCGUGGGGGAUAACGUAGGGAAACUUACGCUAAUACCGCAUACGACCUACGGGUGAAAGCAGGGGAUCUUCGGACCUUGCGCGAUUGAAUGAGCCGAUGUCGGAUUAGCUAGUUGGCGGGGUAAAGGCCCACCAAGGCGACGAUCCGUAGCUGGUCUGAGAGGAUGAUCGGCCACACUGGAACUGAGACACGGUCCAGACUCCUACGGGAGGCAGCAGUGGGGAAUAUUGGACAAUGGGCGCAAGCCUGAUCCAGCCAUACCGCGUGGGUGAAGAAGGCCUUCGGGCUGUAAAGCCCUUUUGUUGGGAAAGAAAAGCAGCAGGUUAAUACCCCGCUGUUCUGACGGUACCCAAAGAAUAAGCACCGGCUAACUUCGUG
RNAcentral lists this ribosomal RNA (492 nucleotides) under uncultured bacterium. RNAcentral's name for it is "partial 16S ribosomal RNA". It matches the Rfam family "Bacterial small subunit ribosomal RNA", at positions 29 to 507 of the family's 1533-position model. The record is from RNAcentral.